RNAcentral lists this ribosomal RNA (116 nucleotides) under Microtus ochrogaster (prairie vole). The record is from RNAcentral. Lineage: Eukaryota; Metazoa; Chordata; Mammalia; Rodentia; Cricetidae.
UGCUUCAUUAAUACCACCCUGAAGGCACCUGUCUCCUCUGAUCUUGGACGCUAAGCAGGGUCAGGCCUAGUUAGUACUUGGAUGGGAAAGCUCUUGCAUCUUAAGAAAAGUUCCAA